AUUAUGUGAAUGUAAGGCUAGAAGCUAUUAAAGCUGAGUAUCAGAAGAUGCCUGCAUUUCAUCAUGAAGAAGAAAAACAUAAUUUGGAGAUGCUGAAAAAGAAGGGAAAAGAUAUUUUUCAUCAACUUCAUUUAAGUAAAGCCAAAAUGGCUCAUAGGAGGGAGAUUUUUAAGAGGAAUGUAAGCGGAGCUGAUGAAAAUGUGCCAUAAACCACAUGUGGAGCUACUUC
RNAcentral lists this long non-coding RNA (229 nucleotides) under Homo sapiens (human). RNAcentral describes it as "non-protein coding lnc-OR4A16-3:1". Lineage: Eukaryota; Metazoa; Chordata; Mammalia; Primates; Hominidae. The record is from RNAcentral.